CCAGGAGGCACAGCUCUGGGAAUCUCACCAUGGCCUGGAUCCCUCUCCUGCUCCCCCUCCUCACUGUCUGCACAGGCUCUGAGGCCUCCUAUGAGCUGACACAGCCACCCUCGGUGUCAGUAUCCCUAGGACAGACGGCCAGGAUCACCUGCUCUGGAGAAGAAUUGCCAAAAAAAUAUGCUUAUUGGUACCAGCAGAAGCCAGGCCAGUCCCCUGUGCUGGUGAUAUAUAAAGACAGUGAGAGGCCCUCAGGGAUCCCUGAGCGAUUCUCUGGCUCCAGCUCAGGGACAACAGUCACAUUGACCAUCAGUGGAGUCCAGGCAGAAGACGAGGCUGACUAUUACUGUCUAUCAGCAGACAGCAGUGAUACUUAUCCCACAGUGACACAAGCAGACAGGGAAGUGAGACAUAAACCCCUCCCCCUCUAUUUCAUCCUCUUCCUCCUGCCCCAGGAGGACCGUGGACAAAGCCAUGAGCAGGCUUGGCCAAAUUCACCCAAAUCUGAACCCCCAGGCUGCCCUUCCCUCCAGCCCUCCAGGCAGGCGCUGCAAAAGAGUCAGUCUGGAGUGGAUUUGUGCCUGGCAGCCCAGGCUGUCCUGUGUUUCUUUGCCUGGGGUUUGAGUUGUCGAUGGAGGGUCUGACUGGAACGACAGACACAGGGAGACAUCCAUGCAGGCAUGUCCAGAGGGACAUGGGGAACUCUCAGGUCUCAGUUCAGUGCAGUCAUUGUUGUAUCCUCUGGGAAAGCAUUCCUCCAGUGCACCUAAGACCUCCAGACCCACAGAGUCUGAGGUCGGGAGGAGAGAAUGUCAAAUUUUUGCUGAUGGAUCACUAAAGGCAUUUUUGAGUGGAGCCACUACAAUUUACUCCUUGAUUCUGGACUCAUGGAUCCUGACUGUGGGAGAAACAGCACCAUCUAUUGGGCACUGAUACACAGCACGUUCCCCAUCCUGUAAGACAUUGCCCAACCCUACACAUACU
Gorilla gorilla gorilla (western lowland gorilla) is the source of this 981-nucleotide non-coding RNA. Lineage: Eukaryota; Metazoa; Chordata; Mammalia; Primates; Hominidae. The record is from the annotation of a RefSeq genome assembly.